GGAAGGUCAACCCGAAAGCCGGCGACGGGAGUGGUCUUGAAAGCCAUCGAGCGUAAAAGCCUUGUCAGUUCGACCCUGACACCUUCCGCCA
Molecule: transfer RNA, 91 nt
Filed under: Candidatus Woesebacteria bacterium
Lineage: Bacteria; Candidatus Woeseibacteriota
Description: tRNA-Ser
Source: RNAcentral